Long non-coding RNA from Anolis carolinensis (green anole), 1264 nucleotides. RefSeq lists it as uncharacterized. Lineage: Eukaryota; Metazoa; Chordata; Lepidosauria; Squamata; Anolidae. The transcript is spliced from 3 exons. The record is from RefSeq and is a predicted model, not a curated record.
AUGUGACUCCAAAGAUGUUGCCAAGCUCCAGGACUUUGAUGUGGCUUUAUUGCCAUAACUGUGACAUUGCUUGGAUGUCACAGGAAGCCCUGUCAUUAUUUUGCCAUUUAUACACUUUCAUAGGCCAAGUUUCACAGAAAAUGUGAGGUUGAUGGAGACAUACUUAAGAUGUCCUAGGGGAAAGCCUUGGUGGAAAAUUUGGAUUCUAAAAAGAAGCCUCAAAAUCAGUUGAGCAAACAUAGAUGGGCUUGGAUCCAUUUGUUUUAGAAGUUAGUAGAACUAUCUGCUGAGAAGAAAAAAAACCCUACGCAGAUGUGAUUACGGGCAAAGGUCAAAGCAUUCAAAUACUCGUCUUCAAGCAAGUGCUCCUCCCUCCGAUCAUUCUCAAAUUGCAACAAUUGUUCAAACAAAACAGAAGAGAAGCUUCCCAAGAACUGGAAACAACACAAAUCCAAAGUCAAUGUCACCCAAGUUGUAACCAAUGUAAAGGAUUUUAUCUUCCAAAUGCUUUGUUGCUAUGGAGGCUUCAAAUACUUUAUCUUCAACACCCAGAAGAAGAAAAGUCAAGUCAUCCAAAACAGCUACACUAGGCAAAAUUAGGAAGAAAAGGACUCUCUUUGUAGUUAUCACUGAUCCCAGGCUAGGUUUUGAAAUGUGCUUUGUUCAGUUGUACUCACUCUAAUGUUCUUGUUCCCCGAGUCUCCAGUAAAAAAAAAACAACGGAAUGAUGGGCCUCUAAUCAUUGGACAGGAUAUUUGGAGUGCUCGUGUCAUCUACUUGGAUUAUCUCUGUAUAGAAAAGAAUGGCCAGUGAAUUACCUAAGAAUGGUCAUCACAAAACUCCAUAGGGUCUCCAAGACAAACUUUGGCCCUCCAGAUGUUUUGGACUUCAUCUCCCACAACUCCUAACAGCCUAUGGCUGUUAGGAAUUGUGGAAGUUGAAAUCCAAAAAUAUCUGGAGGGCUAGAGUUUGCUCAGGCCUGUUCUAGAUCCACCCUAAUUAGUUAUGCAGAAACAAUGAUUUCAUCUUAACCAGAGCCUGGGUAUGCUUAUUAUUUUGGACCAAAACUCUUUGAAUCCCCAUGUUGGCCAUGCAGAUUGGAGGAUUCUCAACAAAAAACAUAUUUGCAGAGAUAAUAACCAAAUAAAAUAUAAUAAUUUGUAUUCACCAUGAGCUACUUAGUUAAGCACAUCUCUUCAGUCUCAAAACUGCCCCACCAAUCCUGAUGGAAUCAUUAUCAGCUCAUGCUAUGAUGGCCAGGAGA